RNAcentral lists this ribosomal RNA (271 nucleotides) under uncultured archaeon. RNAcentral's name for it is "partial 16S ribosomal RNA". It matches the Rfam family "Archaeal small subunit ribosomal RNA", at positions 477 to 747 of the family's 1478-position model. The record is from RNAcentral.
CGGCGGCCCGAGUGGUGGCCGCUAUUAUUGGGCCUAAAGCGUCCGUAGCCGGGCCCGUAAGUCCCUGGCGAAAUCCCACGGCUCAACCGUGGGGCUUGCUGGGGAUACUGCGGGCCUUGGGACCGGGAGAGGCCGGGGGUACCCCUGGGGUAGGGGUGAAAUCCUAUAAUCCCAGGGGGACCGCCAGUGGCGAAGGCGCCCGGCUGGAACGGGUCCGACGGUGAGGGACGAAGGCCAGGGGAGCGAACCGGAUUAGAUACCCGAGUAGUCC